GACGAACGCUGGCGGCGUGCUUAACACAUGCAAGUCGAACGGUAAGGCCCUUCGGGGUACACGAGUGGCGAACGGGUGAGUAACACGUGGGUGAUCUGCCCUGCACUUCGGGAUAAGCCUGGGAAACUGGGUCUAAUACCGGAUAGGACCACUGCCUGCAUGGGUGGUGGUGGAAAGCUUUUGCGGUGUGGGAUGGGGCCGCGGCCUAUCAGCUUGUUGGGGGGGUGAUGGCCGACCAAGGCGACGACGGGUAGCCGGCCUGAGAGGGUGACCGGCCACACUGGGACUGAGAUACGGCCCAGACUCCUACGGGAGGCAGCAGUGGGGAAUAUUGCACAAUGGGCGCAAGCCUGAUGCAGCGACGCCGCGUGAGGGAUGACGGCCUUCGGGCUGUAAACCUCUUUCCGCACCGACGAAGCGCAAGUGACGGUAGGUGCAGAAGAAGGACCGGCAACUACGUGCCAGCCGCCGCGGUAA
This 477-nucleotide ribosomal RNA is filed under the name uncultured bacterium. Its description in RNAcentral is "partial 16S ribosomal RNA". It matches the Rfam family "Bacterial small subunit ribosomal RNA", at positions 28 to 523 of the family's 1533-position model. The record is from RNAcentral.